Molecule: long non-coding RNA, 618 nt
Organism: Apis mellifera (honey bee)
Lineage: Eukaryota; Metazoa; Arthropoda; Insecta; Hymenoptera; Apidae
Exons: 3
Source: RefSeq, a predicted model, not a curated record
ACCAGUUGAAAUUUCGAAUAAACUUCGUAACGUUGAGUAAUAACAUUACAUUAUUAAAAUGCUUCAACGACAGUUUAUUCUUGUUAUUACAGUUGAAUUAUUACCCGUGAUCAUUGAUACGGUUUGAAGGAAAGAAUUGUUGAAGUAAAAAGUGAUUAAUUAACAUCUCGAAUAGACUUACUCUGUAUGAACGAUAUGUAGUAUACAAUUAAACGUUGGGCACAGAGGCCACGAAGCGAGUAACGGUAGAAAAAAAAAAAAAACGGUUUAAGGACGGAACAAAAGAAUCUAAUUACAUACUAGCAACUCGUCACAAGUGGCCUGAGACUGAACCGUAACUCGAACCUCUGAAAACAAUAGGCCGAAAAGUUAACAAAUGCCAAGGAAAUCCCGGCAUCGAGAAACUUUUUGAAAUGAAACACUUUUAGAGAACAUCGAGUGUGCUCGAGGGAUUAUAUCUCGGUGCAUCCUUGUCCAGUGCCAAGAUCGGGAAACUCUUGCAACGAGAAACUUCCUAUCUCCGCAAAAUUUACACAACUUUGAUAUAAUCUAACACAAUAAUCUAUAAAUUGUUAUUUUAUUAUCUUUUUCGAAAUUUUAGAUUUAAAUUAAAUUUAA